UACAGAGGGGGCAAGCGUUGUUCGGAAUUACUGGGCGUAAAGGGCGCGUAGGCGGCGUGCUAAGUCGAACGUGAAAUCCCCGGGCUCAACCCGGGAACUGCGUCCGAGACUGGCAUGCUUGAAUCCGGGAGAGGGAUGCGGAAUUCCAGGUGUAGCGGUGAAAUGCGUAGAUAUCCGGAGGAACACCGAUGGCGAAAGCAGCUUUCUGGCCCGAUACUGACGCUCAUGCCCGAAAGCGUGGGGAGCAAACAGG
RNAcentral lists this ribosomal RNA (253 nucleotides) under uncultured bacterium. RNAcentral describes it as "partial 16S ribosomal RNA". It matches the Rfam family "Bacterial small subunit ribosomal RNA", at positions 524 to 776 of the family's 1533-position model. The record is from RNAcentral.